GGAGCGCUGCUGCCUUCAACAUUGUCAGAGGAUGCAAGAAAAGGCAACAACAUCCAAAGAAGAGUUUACUGGAGAAAUAUUCCUGAAGACUGCUUAAAGAAAUGAUGUUUUUCCAAACAAAAUAUAAAGCGGUAAAGUUUUAAAAGAGAAUAAAGCACAUCAGUGACAAGCAAGCUCCUAGAAGACUUCACACAAACAGAAUUCAUACUCAGUUGGGAUUAAAGACAUUCCUAAGACAUUCCGAAGUUUGGGAAAGACUGGAUUAGCACACAGAGUUAAAGGAUUAUGUAGAAGGACUGCCUUAAAAAACUCUUUAGAUGUUUUCAGAGUUUUUACCACCACAAAACUGGACUGUCACAGGGUUAAUGUAUGGCUCCAAUUAGC
Oreochromis aureus is the source of this 384-nucleotide long non-coding RNA. NCBI's taxonomy places the organism in Eukaryota, Metazoa, Chordata, Actinopteri, Cichliformes, Cichlidae. The record is from Ensembl.